Molecule: ribosomal RNA, 492 nt
Filed under: uncultured bacterium
Lineage: Bacteria
Description: partial 16S ribosomal RNA
Rfam family: Bacterial small subunit ribosomal RNA
Source: RNAcentral
AGUGAACGCUGGCGGUAGGCCUAACACAUGCAAGUCGAACGGCAGCACAGUAAGAGCUUGCUCUUACGGGUGGCGAGUGGCGGACGGGUGAGGAAUACAUCGGAAUCUACUUUUUCGUGGGGGAUAACGUAGGGAAACUUACGCUAAUACCGCAUACGACCUAAGGGUGAAAGCAGGGGAUCUUCGGACCUUGCGCGAUUGAAUGAGCCGAUGUCGGAUUAGCUAGUUGGCGGGGUAAAGGCCCACCAAGGCGACGAUCCCUAGCUGGUCUGAGAGGAUGAUCAGCCACACUGGAACUGAGACACGGUCCAGACUCCUACGGGAGGCAGCAGUGGGGAAUAUUGGACAAUGGGCGCAAGCCUGAUCCAGCCAUACCGCGUGGGUGAAGAAGGCCUUCGGGUUGUAAAGCCCUUUUGUUGGGAAAGAAAAGCAGCAGGUUAAUACCCCGCUGUUCUGACGGUACCCAAAGAAUAAGCACCGGCUAACUUCGUG